RNAcentral lists this ribosomal RNA (486 nucleotides) under uncultured bacterium. RNAcentral describes it as "bacterial SSU rRNA". It matches the Rfam family "Bacterial small subunit ribosomal RNA", at positions 17 to 518 of the family's 1533-position model. The record is from RNAcentral.
UCCUGGCUUAGGACGAACGCUGGCGGCGUGCUUAACACAUGCAAGUCGAGCGAUGAAGUUCCUUCGGGGACGGAUUAGCGGCGGACGGGUGAGUAACACGUGGGUAACCUGCCUCAUAGAGGGGAAUAGCCUUCCGAAAGGAAGAUUAAUACCGCAUAAGAUUGUAGUUUCGCAUGAAACAGCAAUUAAAGGAGUAAUUCGCUAUGAGAUGGACCCGCGUCGCAUUAGCUAGUUGGUGAGGUAACGGCUCACCAAGGCGACGAUGCGUAGCCGACCUGAGAGGGUGAUCGGCCACAUUGGGACUGAGACACGGCCCAGACUCCUACGGGAGGCAGCAGUGGGGAAUAUUGCACAAUGGGGGGAACCCUGAUGCAGCAAACCGCCGCGUGAGUGAUGACGGUCUUCGGAUUGUAAAGCUCUGUCUUCAGGGACGAUAAUGACGGUACCUGAGGAGGAAGCCACGGCUAACUACGUGCCAGCAGCCGC